GGGAGCUCGGGGGGUGCGCCGCUCCCUCACUGCCCGCUCCCGGUCCCCACUGCCCGUGGGGGGGACGCGCUCCCCGCGCUCGGGCGGCUGCUCCAUCCUGCUUGAGUGUCCCGCGGGGCUUCCCGCCGCGCCGCCUCUCCGGGACAUCCCGGGUGAUGGAGCUUCACCGGGGAGCUGCGGGGGCUGCGGGGAGGCGCUGAGGGGUGGAUCUCGGUCGGGCCUUGCCACAGGGCGAUGAUAGCAGCCCUCCAGGUUAAGCCAAAAGCAAAAGGGCUUUCGAGGUGGUUUUUGUUUUGCUUGCAGUGUGCUGUGGAACCUGCCGGCAUGGGUGGUGGCCUUAGGCAGCAGUGUGUUAGCGAACAGUCCUUGGCUGCUCGAUGAGGCGGUGCUGAGCCUGAGCUUCCAGCUCAUAAGGUUUCUGAACAGGUUUCCUUGCCGUGGCUGCCAUGAGCUGGGAUGAUGUGACAGGGGAGGGAUCGCUUCGUGCCUCCUCCCUCUCAGCUGAGCACCGGCUAGUGCAGGCAAGAGGUCUACAGAGAUGUCCUUGUGGUUUCUGGUGAUAGAUUCAGUGGCAUUUUCAAGGUGAAGGAAUCCAGAUACCAGUAACUAAUGACUGAUCAUUAAAACAUCUGUACACCAAUAAUGCUGUCUGGAGCAAAGAGGGAUCUGUGGCUUCUGAAAGCUGUCCAUCUUUCAGCUGGAGUGGAAAAGUUCAUGCCUUUCAACAAGAAGAGCUUAGGAGAGAUGAGCAAGCAGAAUGCAGUACGUGGAAAAGGAGAACACUAGAAUGCAAUGUAGCUGAAAUAGAAAAGCUCCGAGAGUGAUAAGCUUAA
This 833-nucleotide long non-coding RNA is filed under the name Strigops habroptila (Kakapo). RNAcentral describes it as "lncRNA (ENSSHBG00005014467.1)". Lineage: Eukaryota; Metazoa; Chordata; Aves; Psittaciformes; Psittacidae. The record is from RNAcentral.